UACGUAGGGUGCGAGCGUUAAUCGGAAUUACUGGGCGUAAAGCGUGCGCAGGCGGUGAUGUAAGUCAGAUGUGAAAUCCCCGAGCUCAACCUGGGAACUGCAUUUGUGACUGCAUCGCUGGAGUGCGGCAGAGGGGGAUGGAAUUCCGCGUGUAGCAGUGAAAUGCGUAGAUAUGCGGAGGAACACCGAUGGCGAAGGCAAUCCCCUGGGCCUGCACUGACGCUCAUGCACGAAAGCGUGGGGAGCAAACAGG
RNAcentral lists this ribosomal RNA (253 nucleotides) under uncultured bacterium. Its description in RNAcentral is "partial 16S ribosomal RNA". It matches the Rfam family "Bacterial small subunit ribosomal RNA", at positions 524 to 776 of the family's 1533-position model. The record is from RNAcentral.